GAUGAACGCUGGCGGCGUGCCUAAUACAUGCAAGUCGAACGAAACUUCUUUAUCACCGAGUGCUUGCACUCACCGAUAAAGAGUUGAGUGGCGAACGGGUGAGUAACACGUGGGCAAUCUGCCCAAAAGAGGGGGAUAACACUUGGAAACAGGUGCUAAUACCGCAUAACCAUAGUUACCGCAUGGUAACUAUGUAAAAGGUGGCUAUACUACCGCUUUUGGAUGGGCCCGCGGCGCAUUAGCUAGUUGGUAGGGUAAAGGCUUACCAAGGCAAUGAUGCGUAGCCGAAUUGAGAGGUUGAUCGGCCACAUUGGGACUGAGACACGGCCCAAACCCCUACGGGAGGCAGCAGUAGGGAAUCUUCCACAAUGGGCGAAAGCCUGAUGGAGCAACGCCGCGUGGGUGAAGAAGGUCUUCGGAUCGUAAAACCCUGUUGUUAGAGAAGAAAGUGCGUGAGAGUAACUGUUCACGUUUCGACGGUAUCUAACCAGAAAGCCACGGCUAACUACGUG
This 512-nucleotide ribosomal RNA is filed under the name uncultured bacterium. RNAcentral's name for it is "partial 16S ribosomal RNA". It matches the Rfam family "Bacterial small subunit ribosomal RNA", at positions 28 to 507 of the family's 1533-position model. The record is from RNAcentral.